AGGAUGAACGCUGGCGGCGUGCUUAAUACAUGCAAGUCGAACGAAGCGCUUACAGCCGAUCCCUUCGGGGUGAAGCAGUUUGUGACUUAGUGGCGGACGGGUGAGUAACGCGUGGGUAACCUGCCUCAUGCAGGGGGAUAACAGUUAGAAAUGACUGCUAAUACCGCAUAAGCGCACAGUACUGCAUGGUACAGUGUGAAAAGAUUUAUCGGCAUGAGAUGGACCCGCGUCUGAUUAGGUAGUUGGUGAGGUAACGGCCCACCAAGCCGACGAUCAGUAGCCGACUUGAGAGAGUGAUCGGCCACAUUGGGACUGAGACACGGCCCAGACUCCUACGGGAGGCAGCAGUAGGGAAUAUUGCACAAUGGGGGAAACCCUGAUGCCAGCGACGCCGCGUGAGUGAAGAAGUAUUUCGGUACGUAAAGCUCUAUCAGCAGGGAAGAUAAUGACGGUACCUGACUAAGAAGCCCCGGCUAACUACGUGCCAGCCGCGGC
RNAcentral lists this ribosomal RNA (495 nucleotides) under uncultured bacterium. Its description in RNAcentral is "bacterial SSU rRNA". It matches the Rfam family "Bacterial small subunit ribosomal RNA", at positions 26 to 518 of the family's 1533-position model. The record is from RNAcentral.